Molecule: long non-coding RNA, 1863 nt
Filed under: Homo sapiens (human)
Lineage: Eukaryota; Metazoa; Chordata; Mammalia; Primates; Hominidae
Description: HSALNT0158924
Source: RNAcentral
CCCCUCACUGCCCCCACCCCGACGACAUGUUUUCCCCAACUGGUCAGAAGUUCUUGUCUUACUGUCACAUGGUGUUAAAUUUUAGAAAAAGGAGACAUUACCGCUUGACAGACUACAACAGCUGAACAGCAACAGCUGGGAGGACACAGUUGCAGGCGUAACAUUCGGUCCCGGAGAAGGCAGCAACAGAUGCUUUCUGCAUUAGCACUGUGCUCCAUUUCUUCAGUCCUAUGCCCUUCCCAAAAUUGGCACUGCAAGACAUGAUACCUUAAAGGCAUCUCCAAAUGAGCAGGUCAGCCUUCUCAUCGAGCCCAGAGGAGAGCUGGACUCUCAGCCCAGGAUGUUCACAAAGCAAAGCAUGAGCAACAUCGCAGGGCCUGCUGUCCUGGUGGGACUGAGAUGGAGAGCCUUACAAGAAGGAUGAAAAGCAACUCAUCAAUUUCCGCAUAAAGGCACAACUGUGCCCAGGCUAGUCAGUUCACAGACCUGCUAGAAGCCCGUGAUGCUGCCUGUAAGCUUCAACACAGAGUUUUCUACUGAUUGCAGCUGCAGGCCUUCUGAAGAAGGGGAUGAAAACAGCCACGCAUAUCGGAGAUGCCAUUUCCUGUUAACUUUGAUGGUCUUGACAUACAAGAAAAUGUGCCGGAUCAGUCACACACUCAGAAGAAAGCUGUGGGGGGAGAUAAACACACCUGUACCUGAUAAUUGCUGACAACGUUCCAUGAAGCAGAAUGGUGUGUUUGGGAACAAAGUGUACCUCAUCGAAAAUCAGGGUUAACCAGCAACAUCUCUGAGUUGAACGGAGGUUCCGACGCGCGCACGCACACACACACACUCACACACACGCGCACACACACACACACACACAACUUCCAUCUUAGUCCGAUCUCUGUGAAUUGAUGCCAUUUAAUCAGAAAGGUGCUUCGGCUCUAGGACACUUCAUUUUAAUUCUGAAUGGGCUACAACAUUAAAACCUCCCACGUCCUGUCCCUCCUUGGACACUCUCUUUCCAAUGUCAGCCAAGUCAAUUGCCACGAAUUUUAAUCCUCUCCACACCACUGCCUUGUCUUUCCUACCCAACAAAAGUCACUGUUAGUUCAGAAAAAGAAUCCCAUAUCCAGGAACAAUUAGAGAAGCAAUCAAUAGUUUUAUGAAUCAGGAAUGCUCCCCCCCCCCCCCCGCAAAUUCCCCAGGAAUUAUCAAAAUAUGCAAAGAAAUUCAGUGAAGGCUAAUAAAGGUGACCCAAGAAGGCAUUAUUGCCACUGAAUGGACUUGUGCUCAUUACUGUUCCAGAAAGUACAGAUCAAUGCCACAAAGAAGAUGAUGCCACAAAACAAACUGCAUUCUGUUAAUGACUGUUACAGAAAUCUCCAUACAAAGAAAUCUAAGUGGGAUAUUUCUAAUAUGCUCACUACCAUGAUGACAAAACCAAGGUAUGCUUUUCGUCUAUGAAUUCUGACACCUUAAAUACAGAAUGAUCGUCCCCACGUAACACUCUUCCUUGUGCAUUUUACUUUCUUUCCAAGAACCUGCGUGUUUCCAUGGCUGUGCUCAAUGAACUUUUUAUCAGCCACAUUUUCACCUAAUUAACCCCCCUGAUUACAAUAAUUAGUAUUGAUUCACUCUUUGAAUGACUUCCUCGGUCUUCUAGCACAAUCUGCACUUGCUACAAAGUUCUAGAUAUGAAUACUAAUCAAAUGCUCACUUUCGUUUUUCAGCCCCAAAAGGAGAUUUUUGCAAAUGUAUACCCUCCUAUUUUAAAAAAAGCAAAACUGUCUGGUUUCAUUUUAACAAAUCAAGGAAUAUUCAUACACAGGGGGUUAGAGAUCUCAGUCUGUGGUCUGCUGAACACAUCUAUGUGAA